ACAGCCACAUCACAUCGAAACAUUAGUUGCCAUACAAUCACUGAAGUUAAGCAACAUUGAGCCUGAUCAGUACCUGGAUGGGUUACCAUGUGGGAAUACCAGC
Molecule: non-coding RNA, 103 nt
Organism: Acanthosepion pharaonis
Lineage: Eukaryota; Metazoa; Mollusca; Cephalopoda; Sepiida; Sepiidae
Source: the annotation of a GenBank genome assembly